AUUGAACGCUGGCGGUAGGCUUAACACAUGCAAGUCGAGCGGUAACAUUUCUAGCUUGCUAGAAGAUGACGAGCGGCGGACGGGUGAGUAACGCGUAGGAAUCUGCCUUAUAGUUGGGGAUAGCCCGAGGAAACUCGGAUUAAUACCGAAUACGCUCUACGGAGGAAAGCAGGGGAUCUUCGGACCUUGCGCUAUGAGAUGAGCCUGCGUGAGAUUAGCUAGUUGGUGAGGUAAAGGCUCACCAAGGCGACGAUCUCUAGCUGGUCUGAGAGGAUGAUCAGCCACACUGGGACUGAGACACGGCCCAGACUCCUACGGGAGGCAGCAGUGGGGAAUAUUGCACAAUGGGGGAAACCCUGAUGCAGCCAUACCGCGUGUGUGAAGAAGGCUUUUUCCGGGUCGUAAAAGCACUUUCAGCAGUGAGGAAAGUAAGUCGCUAAUAUCGGCUUACCGUGACGUUAACUGCAAAAGAAGCACCGG
This 480-nucleotide ribosomal RNA is filed under the name uncultured bacterium. Its description in RNAcentral is "bacterial SSU rRNA". It matches the Rfam family "Bacterial small subunit ribosomal RNA", at positions 30 to 496 of the family's 1533-position model. The record is from RNAcentral.